GAGAGCCGUAUACGUGGAGACAUGUACGUACGGUUCGGGGGCGAGUAUCCGCAAUCCUACCACAGAAAUGUGGUGACUGGCAGCGGAUGCUUAGCCUAC
This is a non-coding RNA of Mucinivorans hirudinis, 99 nucleotides long. Lineage: Bacteria; Pseudomonadati; Bacteroidota; Bacteroidia; Bacteroidales; Rikenellaceae. The record is from Rfam.